Long non-coding RNA from Silurus meridionalis, 146 nucleotides. RefSeq lists it as uncharacterized. The transcript is spliced from 3 exons. The record is from RefSeq and is a predicted model, not a curated record. Lineage: Eukaryota; Metazoa; Chordata; Actinopteri; Siluriformes; Siluridae.
UGAAAACCAGCUUCUGGCACUUAAAGAAGUGAACACCAGACAAAAUCUGGAAAUCCGAGGCCUGAAAUGCAAAAUCAGCAGCAUGGAGAAAAGCUUUCGCUUAAUGGAGGAAAAACUUUACAAAGUGGAGAACGAGUUGAACAAAG